GCGUGCACUGAUGAAAGGUCUUCAGGAUCGUAAAGUUCUGUUGUUAGGGAAGAACAAGUACCGUGCGAAUAGAGCGGUACCUUGACGGUACCUAACGAGGAAGCCCCGGCUACUACGUGCCACCAGCCGCGGUA
RNAcentral lists this ribosomal RNA (134 nucleotides) under uncultured bacterium. Its description in RNAcentral is "partial 16S ribosomal RNA". It matches the Rfam family "Bacterial small subunit ribosomal RNA", at positions 399 to 522 of the family's 1533-position model. The record is from RNAcentral.